UGUGUGUGUGUGUGUGUGUGUAUGUGUGUGUAUACAAAGCAGAUAAGAUAUUCUCUUGAGCAUGAUUGGAUUGGAAAUAGUAGCUAUGCCAGGGGAAAUUUUAUGCAAUCCCCUUGGCUGUGGGCUACACAUUUAUUGUGUUAUACAAAUAUGCCAAAAAAAAUGCCAUUUACACAGUUGCCUAAAACAAAAUUGAAAUUAUACAUUAGUGUUUAAAGUUUUUUUUUUUCUUUCGCCUCCUUUUCUUAAUGAAUGGCAGAUAAUGAAAUUUAGGAGUUUGCAAAAACAAACGUAGUUUAAAUUGUACCUUAGUUGUCUAUGAAAUACAAAUACAUUUUAUAUAUUUAUGGAAACAUUUGUGUGUGUUCAGAAAGUCCAUAUUUUGCAUUCAAGAUUGACCCUGUUUUAAGUCAUAUUUCAUUUGCUACACUCAAAUUGACUAAAGGCAGAUACUUUGGCAUUCACUUUUUGAUUCAUUAUUAAGGCAUUAUUUUGAUUGAUUCUGCUUAAGGUAGUUUUCCUGAUCAGAGUAGACGUUUAGGCCACCUAUCUAGACAAAUAUCCCACUUUCCUAUCUGAAAUAUUUGAUCUCUCCUUACCCAUUCUAGGGUUUUGUGCAUCUCUAAGAUGAUCAUCUUGGUGUGGGGUCCUGAUCUUCCCAGUGACUUAGCAGCACAGUAAUUUGGCUGAAAUGUUGAUGAGUUCAGACAAGAAGAAGGUGAUGAUGACAAGAGAGCGUCACGGGGAAAUUCUGCCCUGAGGAAGGAAUAGUUUGAGGCUGGAGAGAUGUGCUACCCCCGCCACUCUUUCUCAAAUGGAAAGACAACCUGUAGGCACAGAAAUCAUUGCUCUGCUUACACUGAAAUCUCCUGCUGACUUUGAGAGCUGAGCAUUGGAUUUUGAUGGGAGAGUGAAACUUAGUGAAGAAAUGAUUUGAACCUUUGUUGAUCUAAUACUUCUGUGAUACAGUUAUCUAAACAGAAUGAGUCUAAAGUCAGUAUAAAGACCUGUGUCUCUCCAUGUUUUGCUGCUUAUAAUUGCAGAGGAACAUUUUGAGAUAGAAAAUUUUAUCCCUCUUUCAAGUGACUUUUUAUAAAACAUAACCUUUUAAGAGAGGUCAUUCUUUUGAAAAAUUGUCUGAAUACAAAAAAGUAACUGAACAGCAAGGGAUUGUAGCCAUAAUGUUCUUGACCACUUUAGAUUGACAAAUAGUAUCUCAAAAUUGAUCAGGUUCUGGAGAAUCUAUUGAGGUUGUAUGGAGUAACCAAGUGAUGGAAGAGGUUGGAAGUGAAUAAUUUUAUGUGGUAUUAUGUGAUUUUUUUUGGUGGGGGUAGUGUCUGGAGCUGAGCAUGAUGGAGCCUAGAUGGGGCAGCCUUCUAAUGCUCCCAGUAUUUCGCAAAUCAUAUGUCACGUCAAAAUUGUAAUGACAAAGCUCACAGCAGCUGCCUACGCCAGGUUUGGUGCCAGCUCUAAUUAGAGCAUUGAUCAUUUCUCUCCCCUUCAUGAAUGCACAUGAGUGCACAUUUUCAUAUAUAAGGGCAAAGGACAUUUCAAAGUUUGGAUGGAAUCUUUCCUACUUAGAAGUAAUAAAAAACAAUACUUUGAAAUCUUACCAAAUGUUAAACAAAUAGCAACAAUUUUUCCAUUUGAAGAUGUGUGUCUUAAGGUCUGUUGGAUCUUUCAAAUUUCUAUUUUGGACAUGGAAACUACAGAUGAAAUUUAACUUACUCAAAGUUACACAGAACUCCUGGCUGAUCUCUUUUACUUAAUUCUUCUAAAAUCUAAAGUAAGAAUAAUUUUGAAAUUUUAUUGGUAAUGCUUAAAUAACAAAAGUUACUUUAAUAUGUUACAUGUUUGAAGUUUCAUUUAUACUUAAUAUCUAAUUUAACGCUUGUGAAAAUAUUAUUCAGUAUUUUUUUUUCUUUUCUAAAAUGACUUGUUCAGGGCUCCUUUUGGGAUUUUAAGUGAGAAAAACUCUAUUUCAUAAUAUUGUUACCAUGCUCAUCCAAUAACACUUCAUAGAUGGUUAGCCAUCUCUAAAAUUAAAUUUUGUAGUUGAGGAGCAUUGAAAAUAUCACCUAUAUUUGGAUUUCUGUUUAACACUUCAAAAUGCAUUUUAUCAUAAUUUAAAAUUUGAUUUAAAUACAAACCUCUUUAUAGAAAACCUGAUAAAUGUAGUUUUAUUUGUUUGCUUGCUUUUUUUUGCAGGGAGGGAUAUUCCCUUGAUACCACUCUGUCUUUAUGACUCAUCGGUUAUUUAUAAAUGUUAUCAUCGUUUUUCUGAUUUUUAAAUAAGUUUCAGAAUUAAUACAUUUAACUGAAUAAAUCAACCAAUAAUGUCAAACUUAAAAUGUGUUUGUAACAAGAGUCAGCACUUAUAAUGAAAAAUAUAAUUAAUUAAGAGGUUACAAAACUUAUAAGCAGAGUUUACUCUGCUUACAGAAGGGCAAACAUUUGUUAUUUGAUACAACAUAUUAAGUAUUUAUCCCAUGCAAUCACUGUCCUAGGCUUUGAGUUUAUAGUGAUGAUCAAAACGAUUUACAGGUUUCAAGAACCCUGCUCACAUACAGCUUACAAUCCUAUGUGGGAAAAUGAUAAUAGUGAAAUAAUUACAUUAAUUAAUAUAUACUUGAUUCAAAUGUAAAUAAUUAUUCUGAAGGAAAGACACCUACAUCAAGAGAGCUGGCUUAAAUUCGGGGAUCAAGGAAGCCUUUCCAAAUAAUUGUUGAUGGGAUUGAAAGACAAUUGUGGGAUGAGAUGACCACCUGGGCUUGGUAUGGGGGAGAUACAACUGUCAGUGGGAAAGCCCUGGAGAUGGGGAAGAAGAACUUCUUCAAUGGAGAGAAGUUCCUGAGUGAGGAGAAGGCAGGUGACCACAGUGUGAAGUGAUGCUAUAGAAGCCAACCACGUGGCUAUGCAAGCAGAAGGAAUUUAUCCAAAAAGAAAGGGGGAGGCAUUAGAGGGAUUUAGUGUGGAGAGUGGUGGUGACAAGAUCAGAUUUGCAACUUGCAACUCUCUCUCAGGUUGCAGCAUGGGGGAUGAUGGGAUGAGCCCAGAGUGGACUGACGCAUUUCCAGUAGUCCAGGAGAGUGGCAUGUGGCAUGAACUGUGUGAGGAAGGGGGAGCUGGGGGGAAGAAGUGGGGUAACAACACCCUAUUUGUUGUUUUGCUUCUUACACUUUGAAAAAUAUUUCAAAGCAGGAAUGCUAUUCCAGACAUUUAACACCUGGAACAGGAAUAAGUACCAACCAAAUAUCGUGGGAGACUGACGAAUCAGAAUGAACAUCAGCUCUGCAUGGCAGUAUGGUUUUAAAACACUUUCAUGUCUAUGUAAACAAAGUAAAAAUGUUAAAAGAUUAUUUUACGCCUUUGGUUAUCAGAUAGUCAGACUUUUAGUAGUUUAUAUUUUAUUGCAGUCUGAUGAGGUCUGCUUUUAAUAGUAGUUUUCUCUUCUUCCCCCAACCCCAUUACAUUAAAAUGGCAAAUGAUACUUUUCCUUGUUAGUAAGCAAGGCCAAGUUAGGAUUAUCAGAAAGUCAAUACCUAAACACAAAGAAUAGUGCAGCCAAACCCGGAAAAUAUUGUCUGUUUUGCCAAGAGGAAGCAUCUCACUGAGUAUCUGGAAAGCUCAUUGUUUCUCAAUUAUGGUUAUUUUAUUAGUUGCCAUAACUCAGCUAUAGUCAUAAUGUAACUGACCAGCACCGAUGAUGAAAUCAAUAACCAC
Molecule: long non-coding RNA, 3723 nt
Filed under: Homo sapiens (human)
Lineage: Eukaryota; Metazoa; Chordata; Mammalia; Primates; Hominidae
Description: HSALNT0206295
Source: RNAcentral